CCUCAGCUUUAUAAAUCUGUUUCCUACCCCAGCAGGGCAGCUUCUCUGUCCUCCUGCGUGUUUCUGCCCCCCCCCACGCUCCUUCCAAGGAGCCUUUCCUAGCUGUGAGUUGAUGCCACAACCCCGUGGAAGCCUCUCUGUGCUCCGUGUGGGUUCUGACACCCAAGCCAUCUCAUGUGGUCCCCUCCCACACUGCCUCGGUUCUUCUGAGCUGAUGCCAGAACACUCCAGAGUCUUUGCUGCACGACCACACCUCACACUGGAGCCCCAGGAUGGCUUGUGGGGCCUUAUGCUGCCUUCGUCAGGGCACUCUGCCCAGCUGCAGUGUGUAGACACGACUGAGCCCAUUUUCCAUGUCCCUCAGGUACUUGGAUGAGCUAUAGAGCCCGACCCAGGAUGGAACAGAAUCUUCCCUUCCGUGGCCAACACAAACAGGGGGCCCAUAAACCUUCCUAAUUUAGGCAGGCAGGCAGGCAGGCAGGCAAGGUCAGGACGGGAGACUAAACAAUCAUCUCAGGACACACCCAGGCUGCUCAGUCCUCAGGAAUGCCUACGACAUCGACAUCGGGACUUCUACAGAGAACAGCAGACCUCUUUGAGCACAGGCAGCCUUGGGUCAAUCCAGUUCCUCAUCAGCUAUGGACAGCAGGGCCUUGCUGGACUGCUCCAUGGUCGGGGGUGUGGCAGCGAUGCUGGGUACCUGCUCUGCUCUGAGCAUUCUCUGGCAGAGAGCACUCCUCUGCCUCAGUUUCCUUGUAGGAGAAGUGGAGGUCUCAAACUCCAAUGGGCAAACCAGUAGGCAGCCUUCCCCCAUGACUCCUCCCUUGAGUUUCUGCCCCGGCUUCCCCCUGAGCAGUAGGUGUAAGCAGAAAUAAACCCCUCUCUCCCCAAA
This 892-nucleotide long non-coding RNA is filed under the name Rattus norvegicus (Norway rat). RNAcentral describes it as "long non-coding RNA NONRATT012135". Lineage: Eukaryota; Metazoa; Chordata; Mammalia; Rodentia; Muridae. The record is from RNAcentral.